GUGUUCUCUUGGCAUUUCAAGGUUUCAAUGCUCUCAAGCAAUUCAUCUUUUGGUCUUGACUGGUUUCAGAAAUUGGUGCUUUCAAACAAGGUAUGCUUAGGCAUGCAUACUGAUAUGAAGAUCUGUAGAGCAAAAAACUAUACUCCACACAAUGAUUCAUUGUUGAUUUCUAAUAGAAGAGUUUGCCAAUUAUUGCCUUGAAACAUGGUGGAUUGCUUGUGGAGCGCCUGAGAUCUCCAAAAGCCUAAAGAGAUGUUUUCAUUGUUUGAGAAAGGUUGCUAUUCAUGGGCUGCUAGUAAUUAUGGUUGGUCUACUACUUCUGCCUUUAAGCUCAAACAUCUAUUGGAAACAUUUAUACCGUGACAAUAACAAUGGGUUCAUCCAAGGUAAAGAUGUUGGCCUUAAAUCAAGUAUAAUUGGCUUCAAUUUAUUUGGAGUGCAAAGCGAACCCCAACGAACUUUUCGACUUUACAAAAAUGUUGCUGAGCAAAAAAUUACAUAAGCCAACAUCAGUAUUAUGAGAAAAUACAAUUGCAUUCUUGUCAGGUUGGGGUAGUUAGCUCCUAACGCUCAAACUUGAGUUGAUACUAAGGCUUCCAAAUCUUUAAGGGCUUCGUCGACUGCAUAAAGUAUCAUUUUCUUUAUCUGUUCCACCAAGAAGAUGAAUGACCAAACAAGUUAAGGAGAAGAAAUAAAGUGAAACAAAAUUGCUUACAGUUAAACAGAGUAGUUACCUCAAGUUUGUCUUCUCUAGCUCUAUGGUUCUUCGGAAGUUGUCUGAACUCCUCGGUCAAACGGAGGCACUCGUGGACGUUUUCAGGAGACACGAAGUCGGCUGCUACUUUUGUACAAGACUGCAGGAUGAAAACAUAAUAUUUUAGAGGAACUAUUAAACAAGACAAAAUCUUUGGAAAGAGGAAUCGUGAAGAUAACUAAUGAUAUAGGACCUUGAGAUUCCUGACUUGGUGUGGACAUCCGGCUGGAAUAAAUACUGCCUCUCCAAGUUUUUGUAGAAACGUCCAUGGUUCAACACCAAAUUCCUCCUUCAGCUUCUUUUUGUGCUCCAAUGUUAAAUAAAAAGAUUGGUCAUGAAUUGGAUGAAUGACCUGAACACACAAAAAUAAGGACAUUAAAAUAAAUAAAUACAUACAGCACCCUUUUAAGCACAAUUUGGCUAGACAAAAACUGAGGAUAGAUACAUACCCGUUCAACUAGUGAACAAUAGGUGUGCCUAAAUUCCUUAUAAUGUUUCAUAAGGUAUGCCUCUAAUUUAGGAACAUCCUCUCUCCGGAAGAUGUCCCACAAAGCACCACCAGUUUCCUCUGCCACUUCGGUGGAGGAAGAACCGGAUGUAGUGGGCCCAUCUAACUCAUCUUCAUCUUCAUCUUCAUCUUCUGGUACUUUCAAUUCUACGUUAAUUUCAGGAGAGAGAGUGUUUUCUAGUGCUUCUCUAUCCUGUGUCUGUUGACCAGGUUGUCCACCAUCCUUGAGAGAAUUCAUCCAAUCCAUAAGCUCUCUUUCAUCUUGGGCCCUAUGUAAUUUGUUCAACCUUGAAAUUGCAGAUUGCUGCUCAUCACAUAGCUGUACUUCUGAUGUGUGUGUCAAAAUAUUCACCUACACAAAUUGAAAUGAUGUGUCAAAA
Molecule: long non-coding RNA, 1642 nt
Organism: Prunus dulcis (almond)
Lineage: Eukaryota; Viridiplantae; Streptophyta; Magnoliopsida; Rosales; Rosaceae
Exons: 2
Source: RefSeq, a predicted model, not a curated record